This 1299-nucleotide unclassified non-coding RNA is filed under the name Hevea brasiliensis (rubber tree). Lineage: Eukaryota; Viridiplantae; Streptophyta; Magnoliopsida; Malpighiales; Euphorbiaceae. The record is from RNAcentral.
AGUUAAUAAAUUUUUUGUAAUUAAUUAUUUUAUGAAAAAAGUCAUUUUACAAAAAUACUAGGAGAUGAAUUGUGAAAUUUUGGUAAAUCAUCUUACUUUCUGUAAUAAAGUGAUUUUAUCUUAUAAUAAAACCAAGUAAUCAUAGAAUACACCAUUACGGAUGUAUUAUGUAUAUGAUAUUUUUUUUCUUGGUUUGACUUUGUGAACAAUUUACAGAUCUGAUAGAUGUGACAUGUCAAAAAUAAGCAGAAUGUAAAUCAUCUUCUUAGUUGUUCAGUGAAUGGGAUUGGUGGUUCUUGGAUUUUGGUUAGUUUGAAUUCAAUUGAGUGGUUGCAUCCUCUAGAGUAGUUACUUGAAGGGUGGCAGCACAGCCAUUCAAGAGGUGAAGAAAAAACUUUAGAGAAUGUUCCUAUGCUUUGGUUCUCUCAUAAUUUAGGGACGGGAGUAGAUGAAUUUUUAAUGUGGUAGACAAUACUGUGUAAAUUAAGAGAGGUUUUAUUGAGAACUUUGUGGUGUUGAGAGAGAGACAAAAUAUUAGUUUUAUUGUUAGCAGAAGAAAUGAGUUGUAAAUAGAAGUAUAGCUUAUUUUCUCUUUUUGUAUAGCACUUGUAUACAGGAUGCUUUGCCUUUAUUUCGGCACUUGUGAAUGGUUUUUCAUCUUGGAGAAAGUAUUGGAUAUUCCUUAGGAAAAGCAUAUGCAAAGAUAAUCAGAACUAGUUCAUGUUUUACCAUCUUUACAAUCUAGUUCAAAAUCCAACUAUGGACUAAUGAUUUAUUAUUUCUGUUUUUAAGUGUGGGCAUGUUGUGCGUGUUUACUAGGAAAGAUUGGUUUUAUCUAUACAUGAAAUUGUUCACCAAACUUGUUUGUUAUGCAUUCGUUGGUCUGUCUUUCCUUGUAUUCCUAGCAAUUGUGGAUUUUGCUUGUUUAUGAUUGUCAUAAAGAAACUAAAUCAGCUAGUUAGAUUAAGACUGUAUGUGCAUGCACUUGUAUAUUGGUGGUGGCAUAGCAUGUGUUUGUUAUGUUUCUGGUUUUAAAGUUGUUGAACAAGCACUGCACAUGUGAUUGAUGUAGAGAUUCUUUCAGAAUUUAGCUGCUUCUCCUCCUUUAUUUUUUAUAUUCUAAUGGUUAGUCUAUUUAACUUCCCUCAUCAUUGUACCAGGCUGGUUCCCUCAGAGGGGAUGCUAAUCUAGGAAAACUUGGGCAGCUAGAGAACUUCUUGAGCCUCCUUAUCAGCCGAAUCAAGGUGCAACAAAUUGAAAGGAUGGGAUGUGGAGGAGAAACAGAUGCUGAUGAUGGCA